UGUGACAGUUAAUUUGCCAACUUGACGUAA
Molecule: non-coding RNA, 30 nt
Filed under: Mus musculus (house mouse)
Lineage: Eukaryota; Metazoa; Chordata; Mammalia; Rodentia; Muridae
Source: RNAcentral